GUUUACACUUUUUACUAUGGGUUUCUAUAUAAAUGACCCCAAACAAUCGAGCAAUUCGGAACUUCUUCCCCUUCGUAGCCGCGACCUUCUUCCUGCGACUUCUUCUCACUUCGUCACUCAAAUAGGUCUUCAAGUCGGGGUAAUUCUCUGUUCUUUCUAUCUCUGUUUUGCGUUUCAAUCGGCCACGCGUACGUGUUUAAUUUCUGAUCGUUUAGGUAUCUCUUUCCCACGAUUUGCGAUUGUGAAUUGGACGGUGAUCGCCGUUAAAGUCUUUUGUAGGUGCCGAGUGGGAAAUUAGGUCGCGAUUUGAUUUCCCGACGACGAAACUUUUACACAAUGACUUUUGAUUAUUACGCGGUUCGAGAAGUUACGAGUGUUGUUGGUCUUUUUGAUUCUCUUAUAUGUUUUAGGGUUUCUAAACAUUAAUUUUAUUCAAAAGGAAAAUGACGUUUUCUUACCGUUGUUGCCUCUUUACUUAAUUCCCUUUUCCAAGUCUAUUAUGAGAGAAGUCGUUUGGGUUUCAUUUUGUGUGUUUCAAUUUUCUUUGGAAGAAUCAUUCGUUAAAUCAAGAAAAAAUAACUUGGUCCUACCAUGAAAGCCUUUAGUACAUUGAAAUUCUCAAGGCGGGUGGUUGUCGCUUCAUGAAUGUAAAAUUUUGACAGUUCUAAAGUAGGUAAAAAACUUUGAAAUGUCAUGAAGUUUGGGCAUAUAUUGAAAAUUGUUACAAUGGUUUUGAAUAAAAUUUUGUCUCGAGGUAUUGAGGUUUUCGCUAAAAAUGUUAUGUUGUUAAUUUGUUUAGUUUACGUGCUGACGUGGACCAAAUGACGUUAAAUGAGCCAGCAGAAGUCAAUUCGAUUCGACUUCCCCCACUAAACCCACAUUGGUGAAAACAGAAUCACAAUAAAACUUGAAAGCUCCCUUUUUAGCUUUUCAGACGAUGAACUUACAACAGAUUAGAGACACAACCGAAUUCAUCUUGGAGUAGCGAGUUGACCACCCAGCCGUCGUCGCUUUUAUGCUUGGUUCACCAAAAAUUGAAUUGUGAAGGAGCUUCGGCCAGGUGCUGGGCAGGAUUUGAGAACCGGAGGAAGACGGUGGUAAGAAGAAGGAACCAAAGGGUGAGGUGUUGAAAUCCGUGAAAAAGAUGUGAAAAUUCAAGGAAGUGAAGGAUAUUUGAGAGAUGAGGCUUUAAAGAGGAAGGUUCAACGUUGAAAAGUGAAAAGAGGAGGAGGAGAAUGAGCUGAACCCAACUAGAUCUGAAUUUAUAUCGAAGAAGAAGAACGAUUGGAUGUCUAUGGAGGAAGAAAAUGGAGGAAGAAGAUGACUUUUUUUUGUUGAAUAAGAAAAGUAUUAUUUAGUAAUUAAAAAAUUAUUGAAAAAUAAUGGACUUUUUCUUACUAAUUUAAUGGUGUUGGGUCCAUGUUAAUACGUAAACUAAACAAACUAACAACAUGAUAUUUUUUGAAAUUAUGGUGACAUUUUUCGACAUAGAAGGAUGUUGGUCUCCUAACUGCGUAAUGUGUGGUUUUGUGCGUACUAUGUUGGUCUCCCAACUGCUUACUCUUGCUUAUCGUUGUUCUUAUUACUAUCUGCAUCUUGUUGUUCUUUGCAGGCCCGCUCAAUGGGCCCACCAGGACAGAGCCUCAAUCUUAAGGGGGCCUCCAAUUUGAUAAGGGCCCAAAUGAUAUAGGCCCGUUACAAUCUUUUGUUUUGUAAUAUACACUGUAAUAUAAAAACAUUUCCCG
RNAcentral lists this long non-coding RNA (1745 nucleotides) under Linum usitatissimum (flax). Its description in RNAcentral is "long non-coding RNA (LUSI_LNC004886)". The record is from RNAcentral. Lineage: Eukaryota; Viridiplantae; Streptophyta; Magnoliopsida; Malpighiales; Linaceae.